CUGGCUCUUCACGUGAGCAUGUGCUCGUGCCGUCUAUUUAUCUUCUCUUGUGCACAUCUUGUAGUCUUGAAAAAAAAGUGAACCUCUCGCAGCGAUGCGGUUUGGGGGAGUGGGCCUUUGUGCUCUUCCUCUGCUUGCUUUCUUUCAAGGCUAUGUUUUCAUAUACACUAUAAAGUUACAGAAUGUCUUUUAACGAUUGUGCUUGUCGCAGUCAUUAAACCUAUACAACUUUCAGCAACGGAUCUCUUGGCUCUCCCAUCGAUGAAGAACGCAGCGAAAUGCGAUAAGUAAUGUGAAUUGCAGAAUUCAGUGAAUCAUCGAAUCUUUGAACGCACCUUGCGCCCUUUGGUAUUCCGAAGGGCAUGCCUGUUUGAGUGUCAUUAAAUUAUCAACCUUGUUCGCUUUUACUAGCUUGAGCGAGGCUUGGAUGUGAGGGCUUGCUGGCUUCCUUCAGUGGAUGGUCUGCUCCCUUUAAAUGCAUUAGCGGGAUCUCUUGUGGACCGUCACUUGGUGUGNAUAAUUAUCUAUCCCAGUUGACUNUGAAGCAAAACUUUAUCGGAACCCGCUCAUAACCGUCUCGCAAGAGACAAUGUUUAUUGACUUGACCUCAAAUCAGGUAGGACUACCCGCUG
RNAcentral lists this ribosomal RNA (632 nucleotides) under uncultured Mycena. RNAcentral's name for it is "eukaryotic LSU rRNA". The stretch from base 227 to 380 matches the Rfam family "5.8S ribosomal RNA". Lineage: Eukaryota; Fungi; Basidiomycota; Agaricomycetes; Agaricales; Tricholomataceae. The record is from RNAcentral.